This 253-nucleotide ribosomal RNA is filed under the name uncultured bacterium. Its description in RNAcentral is "partial 16S ribosomal RNA". It matches the Rfam family "Bacterial small subunit ribosomal RNA", at positions 524 to 776 of the family's 1533-position model. The record is from RNAcentral.
UACGUAGGGACCAAGCGUUGUUCGGAUUCAUUGGGCGUAAAGGGUGCGUAGGUGGCGUGGUAAGUCGGAUGUGAAAUCCCGGGGCUCAACCCCGGAACUGCAUUCGAUACUGCCAUGCUAGAGUACUGGAGAGGAGAUUGGAAUUUACGGUGUAGCAGUGAAAUGCGUAGAUAUCGUAAGGAAGACCAGUGGCGAAGGCGGAUCUCUGGACAGUUACUGACACUGAGGCACGAAGGCCAGGGGAGCAAACGGG